This 516-nucleotide ribosomal RNA is filed under the name Triticum aestivum (bread wheat). RNAcentral's name for it is "partial small subunit ribosomal RNA". Lineage: Eukaryota; Viridiplantae; Streptophyta; Magnoliopsida; Poales; Poaceae. The record is from RNAcentral.
AUGACAGGGUGUAGGAUCGAUCCAUCUUUGCAAGUUCUCCAUACGUACAAUUUUUCAAGGAACAAGUACACAACAAUAAUUGACGUUAGGCGACCUUGCAUUCUGUCCCCCGCCUCGUGCACCGUCGUCGACAGCCGUCUGCUACAAGGAAAUCAUGGGGAGCUAGCUUCGAAUCUCAGAUCACUAGGAGAGUUUUUAAAUGACGCGCUAUCCUCAGGAUUUGGAGGAAACAGCGCUGCUCUUUCUUCCCCGGGUGCAGUAUGGUUGUUGGUAUACUUGGUAGACAACAAUGCAUGGACUGAUGAUGUAGCAGGGAGCGGAAAAACAAAUCAGGAACGCGGAGUUGCUAAUGAUCCGUCAAGUACUGUCGUGAUUACUAAAAUCCAUCAAGUACACACGUACUGUUUGGCCUGGUCAAUGGACCAUAUAUUAUUCAUUUAUUUUGCAAAAAAAAACUUUCAAUUUAAUUAUUCAACAACCAUCAAGGUGGUACAAAGAAAAUCAGAAGUAACAUAG